This 253-nucleotide ribosomal RNA is filed under the name uncultured bacterium. RNAcentral's name for it is "partial 16S ribosomal RNA". It matches the Rfam family "Bacterial small subunit ribosomal RNA", at positions 524 to 776 of the family's 1533-position model. The record is from RNAcentral.
UACGAAGGGGGCUAGCGUUGUUCGGAAUCACUGGGCGUAAAGCGCACGUAGGCGGGUUCUUAAGUCAGGGGUGAAAUCCCGAGGCUCAACCUCGGAACUGCCUUUGAUACUGGGUAUCUUGAGUAUGGAAGAGGUAAGUGGAAUUGCGAGUGUAGAGGUGAAAUUCGUAGAUAUUCGCAGGAACACCAGUGGCGAAGGCGGCUUACUGGUCCAUAACUGACGCUGAGGUGCGAAAGCGUGGGGAGCAAACAGG